GACGAACGCUGGCGGCGUGCUUAACACAUGCAAGUCGAACGGAAAGGCCCUGCUUUUGUGGGGUGCCCGAGUGGCGAACGGGUGAGUAACACGUGAGUAACCUGCCCUUGACUUUGGGAUAACUUCAGGAAACUGGGGCUAAUACCGGAUAGGAGCUCCUGCUGCAUGGUGGGGGUUGGAAAGUUUCGGCGGUUGGGGAUGGACUCGCGGCUUAUCAGCUUGUUGGUGGGGUAGUGGCUUACCAAGGCUUUGACGGGUAGCCGGCCUGAGAGGGUGACCGGCCACAUUGGGACUGAGAUACGGCCCAGACUCCUACGGGAGGCAGCAGUGGGGAAUAUUGCACAAUGGGCGGAAGCCUGAUGCAGCAACGCCGCGUUCGGGAUGACGGCCUUCGGGUUGUAAACCGCUUUCGCCUGUGACGAAGCGUGAGUGACGGUAAUGGGUAAAGAAGCACCGGCUAACUACGUG
RNAcentral lists this ribosomal RNA (468 nucleotides) under uncultured bacterium. Its description in RNAcentral is "partial 16S ribosomal RNA". It matches the Rfam family "Bacterial small subunit ribosomal RNA", at positions 28 to 507 of the family's 1533-position model. The record is from RNAcentral.